This 66-nucleotide transfer RNA is filed under the name Acidiella diversa. RNAcentral's name for it is "tRNA-Pro". The record is from RNAcentral. Lineage: Eukaryota; Metazoa; Arthropoda; Insecta; Diptera; Tephritidae.
CAAGAAAUAGUUUAUUUAAAAUAUUAAUUUUGGGGAUUAAUGAUGGAAUUAUUAUUUCUUUCUUGA